CCCCCCAUUCCUCCUCUGCAAUUCAAGUAUGUCUCCUUAUGAUAAUACUACAUUUCUCCUGACAUGCAUAUUGCCCUCUCAAGCGAUGUCAUUCCCUGCUUGCUCCAGCCCUCCACCUUUAACUACGUCACAAGUGCAAAUUACCACAAUUUGUAACAAUGUGUCGGGCUUCCAUAUAGCUCUGCAUUGGCAUGACUUGUUGACAGUAGGUGGGGGCGGUACGUCUUGUGUAAACACAAACUCACUUCCCUACCAAUAGCUCUGCUGUGCUCCGCUAAGUGCAAGAAGUAUGAAAGCCAUGACGUCUGCGGGAGGCUGCAUCGCAGUAAAUGCUGUACGGCCACUUCAGCUGUCGGAUUGACCAUAUAAUAAUUUGUUCUUAACUGACUUGCCUAGUUAAAUAAAGGUUAAAUAAAAAUGAGGUAUGUUGUUUCUGACUCAUAUCUCGCGCCGGCUCCGCAGUGUCUUAAUAGUCCUUUCUCUCAUUUCCGGGGUUGGGACAAACACUACUGUUCAAAAGUUUGCUGUCACUUGAUUUUGACCGUGAUUUUUAAAGAAAAGCACUUUUUGUUCAUUAAAAGAACAUCAAAUUGAUCAGAAAUACAGUGUACACAUUGUUAAUGUUGUAAAUGACUAUUGUAGCUGGAAACGGCUGCUUUAAAAAUAAAUAAAUACAUUUUUUAAUGGAAUAUCUACAUUUAUCAGCAUCCAUCACUGUGUUCCAAUGGCAUGUCACAUCAACUGUGAAGAGGCGACUCUGGGACGCUGGCCGUCUAGGCAGAGUUAAAAGCCAUAUCUCUGUCCAGUGUCUGUGUUCUUUUGCCCAUCUUAAUCUUUUAUUUUUAUUGGUCUGAGAUAUGGCUUUUUCUUUGCAACUCUGCCUAGAAGGCCAGCAUCCCGGAGUCGCCUCUUCACUGUUGACGUUGAGGCUGGUGUUUUGCGAAUAUUAUUUAAUGAAGCUGCCAUUUGAGGACUUGUGAGGCAUCUGUUUCUCAAACUAGACAAUCUAAUGUACUUGUCCUCUUGCUCAGAUGUGCACUCCCACUCCUCUUUCUAUUCUGGUUAGAGCCAGUUUGUGCUGUUCUGUGAAGGGAGUAGUACACAGCGUUGUACGAGCGUCAGUUUCUUGAUAAUUUCUCGCCUUCAUUUUCAGAACAAGAAUAGACUGACGAGUUUCAGAAGAAAGUUCUUUGUUUCUGGCCAUUUUGAGCCUGUAAUCGAACCCACAAAUACUGAUGCUCCAGAUACUCAACUAGUCUAAAGAAGGACAGUUGUAUUGCUUCUUUAAUCAGGACAACAGUUUUCAGCUGUGCUAACAUAAUUGCAAAAGGGUUUUCUAAUGAUCAAUUAUUAGCCUUUUAAAACGAUAAAAUUGGAUUAGCUAACACAACACAGGAGUGAUGGUUGCUGAUAAUGGGCCUCUGCACGCCUAUGUAGAUAUUCCAUAAAAAAUCAGCCGCUUCCAGCUACAAUAGUCAUGUACAACAUUAACAAUUAGCCUAGUGGUUAGAGAGUUGGACUAGUUACCGAAAGGUUGCAAGAUCGAAUCCCCGAGCUGACAUGGUAAAAAUGUGGUUCUGCCCCUGAACAAGGCAGUUAACCCACUGUUCCUAGGCCGUCAUUGACGAUAAGAAUUUGUUCUUAACUGACUUGCCUAGUUAAAUAAAGGUAAAAUAAAACAUUCUACUCAAUUUGAUGUUAUUUUAAUAGACAGAUUUUUUGGGAGUUUCUUUCAAAAACAAGGACCUUUGUAAGUGACCCCAAACUUUUGAACAGUAAUGUACAUUUUGGCGAAAAUCUGGGAAAUCCUAUGUCCGGUGUCAGGUGUAUGGUAUUUUCUCAAUAGAAAUGACGUGAGCCAAGAAAAGAGAUCAGCUUCUCAUUAACUAGCUAACGUUUUAUUAUAGCUAUAUAGUGUUCGGUGUACUGUUGUUUUGAAAUAACAUUCUAUAUAUUUAUUUGAUUGCAUACUUUAUAUACAUAGUCUUAGCAAGCUCUUUGGCAGCAAGCUAAGCAUUUUUAGCUAGCUUUGCAAAUGUUAGCCUAGUUAACUAGCUAGCAUCAAGUGUUGGUGAUAGAAAAAUGUCCGUAGACGCAACUCUAGCUUAGGUUAGAAGAAAGACUGACGUUUAUUUUUUACUGGAUAAUUACUUUUCAAUUCAUUUUGAUGCACCUGUAGAACAAGGAGCUAGUUAGCAAAGAUUUUUUAUAUCUGUGCCCUUGGUGUACAACAGCUUCUAUUACCCAUGAGAGAUAAUGCCAUCAUGGUUUGAUAGGCCUGAGACCCCAGUGCAGCGCAAUGUAAACAAGUGUAAUGGUAGGGUGGGAAUCUUCUGGCUAGCAUAGCAUGGACAAACCUAACACAAAUUAAAGUUUAUGUAGUUGCUGUAAUAUUUGAAGAUGGGGAUUGGACCACUCGUCCGGAUAAACAUUAGCUAGUUAUCGGUAAGCUAUCUAACGUUAACAGUUAGCUAUCCGCUUAUCUAGAAGACAGCGGAUGUUCCUGAGUGGCCGAGGUAGAUUUUAGUCAAAACUAUGGCAAGGCCUGAUAAUGGUUGUAUAGCAAUGAUCAACCACUCCAGACUACCUUUUCUCAUCACACAAAGACGCAUACAAAGCUCUCCCUCGCCACCAUUCGGCAAAUCUGACCAUAAUUCUAUCCUCCUGAUUCCUGCUUACAAGCAAAAACUAAAGCAGGAACUAUCAGUGACUCACUCAAUACAAAAGUGGUCAGAUACCACGGAUGCUACGCUACAGGACUGUUUUUCUAGCACAAACUGGAAUAUGUUCCGUGAUUCAUCCAAUGGCAUUGAGGAGUAUACCAUCUCAGUCACCCGGCUUUAUCAAAAAGUGCAUCAACGACGUUGUCCCCACAGUGUACGUACGUACGUACGUACAUAUCCCAACCAGAAGCAAUGGAUUAUUGGCAACAUCCGCAUCGAGCUAAAGGCGAGAGCUGCCAUUUUCAAGGAGCGGGACACUAAUCUGGACGCUUAUAAGAAAUUCCUCUAAGCCCCCAGACGAACCAUCAAACAGACAAAGUGUCAAUACAGGACUAAGAUUGAAUCCUACUACACCGGCUCUGAUGCUCGUCGGAUGUAGCAGGGCUUGCAAACUAUUACGGACUACAAAGGGAAACCCAGCCUACCAGACGAGCUAAAUACCUUAUAUGCUCGCUUCGAGGCAAGCGACACUGAAGCAUGCAUGAGAUGUCAACAGUCAAUAGAACUUUGUCUGAUGAAUCUAAUGUGAAGGGGGGCCGAAGGAGACAGGAAUGAGUAAUCACUUCCAUGGGCUGAUCACGCAUUCACCAUGCGCCUUCACAUGAGGAGGACCUCUGUUCCACCGCUCUUCUGAAGUCAAUUUAAUUUUCCGGUUGGAACGUUAUUCAAGAUGUAUGUUAACAACAUUCUAAAGAUUGAUUCAGUACAUCGUUUGACAUGUUUCUACUGACUGUUACGGAUUUUUUGGACAGAGGCGCGUUGUGACUUCGGAAUUGUUUACCGAAGGCGCGAACCAAAGUAUCUAAAUUGACAUAAAUAACGGACAUUAACGAACAAAUGAAGCAUUUAUUGUGGACCUGGGAUUCCUAGGACUGCAUUCUGAUGAAUUCAUCAAAGGUGGACUCCAAUCAAGUUGUAGAAACAUCUCAAGGAUGACCAAUGGAAACCGGAUGCACAUGAGCUCAAUUUCGAGUCUCAUAGAAAAAGGUCUGAAUACGUAUGUAAAUAAGAUGUGAACGUGGAGUCUUUCCAGAUCUUCUCGUGCUCUGGCUGUCCAUUCUCCUAUCACCUCUUCCUCCUCAAACACAUAAAGAGAUGUCACCAUGAUAUGUAUGUCAGACUGUUGAGGAGUGGAGAGAUCAGAGAAUCUCAUGUCCUUCAGCAGCUCACAACACCAUGGAACCACCACAGGUUCAUUCAACCCAGCUCCCACCAGGAAACAGAAAGAGACGGACAAGGCACGGCCACGGCCACACCACUGUUCUCAGUGUGGGGAGAGCGUCAUUAAAGAUCUUCUCAGAACACACCAACGCAUUCACACAGGAGAGAGGCCGUUCCACUGCUCCCAGUGUGGGAAGAGUUUCAAUACAGGGAGUGAUUACAAUAGACACCAGCUCACUCACACAGGAGAGAAGCCGUUCCACUGCUCCCAGUGUGGGAAGAGUUUCAGGGAGUCAGGAAAUUUAAAGAUACAUCAGCGCAUUCACACAGGAGAGAAGCCGUUCCACUGCUCCAAGUGUGGGAAGAGCUUUGGUUUCAUACACGUUCUAACAGCACAUCCAGCGCACUCACACAGGAUAGAAACCGUUCCUCUGCUCCCAGUGUAGGAAGAGUUUGUCAAGAGUAAUCUCAGAACACACCAGCACAUUCACACAGGAGAGAAGCUGUUCCACUGUUCCCAGUGUUGGAAUACUUAUAUUCGAAAUCUAAAGACACACCAGUGUUCUUAAAGAGUAAAGAAGAGUUCACUUGUAAAUGGGAUGGUAAUGUGACAAUGAGAUUCAGUAACUUUAUAUUCUAUCAAGAAACAUGACUGAUGUCUUUUGUACAUAGAUACCAGGUUUGGGGUUAGUUCAGGAAGUACAAUUUAAAUUCCAAUUCUCUUCCAAUGUUUUCCAAUUAGUAAAAUUUGGAAUUGACCCCAACUCGGAUAGAUCAUGUUGAAUUAUUCUGAUAUGAUAUUCACAGAACUCACAUUUGAAUAUAGUAAAUUACGCAUGUGUAUAUUAACUGUAAAUAUUUAACUAAUCUUUGAACUGAAAUGUAUACCCCCUCGAAUCAUAAACAUGGCAAGAUUUAAAUCUGUUUUUGAUAUCACAAUAAAAUACAGAUCUCCUUU
This is a long non-coding RNA of Salvelinus fontinalis (brook trout), 4842 nucleotides long. RefSeq lists it as uncharacterized. The transcript is spliced from 3 exons. NCBI's taxonomy places the organism in Eukaryota, Metazoa, Chordata, Actinopteri, Salmoniformes, Salmonidae. The record is from RefSeq and is a predicted model, not a curated record.